Molecule: unclassified non-coding RNA, 352 nt
Filed under: plant metagenome
Description: partial contains small subunit ribosomal RNA, internal transcribed spacer 1, and 5.8S ribosomal RNA
Source: RNAcentral
UUUCCGUAGGUGAACCUGCGGAAGGAUCAUUAUAAAUGAAAAACGAAUAACUUCAGGGAAGAAGGGAACCUGCACGGUGACCUCCCCUGUCGGGCCACCCAAUACCUUCAAAAUGCCGCCGUCCUAGCGGUGGCAGACGAAAAAAAAACAAGAAAAACAAAAUAGAAACAGGCACGGUGGCCCGUUCACCUUCACACAACCCUCCGAGUACCGCUUCCAUGUUGCUUCCCCGCAAAUCCACCUCUUUGGUGAGCGCGGGGGAGGCCCGCAUCAAAUUCACCUGAAUGUCACAGCAGUCAGACAGCCAUUCAUGGAAACAAUAAAACUUUCAACAACGGAUCUCUUGGUUCCC